RNAcentral lists this long non-coding RNA (163 nucleotides) under Sus scrofa (pig). RNAcentral's name for it is "lncRNA (ENSSSCG00070015843.1)". The record is from RNAcentral. Lineage: Eukaryota; Metazoa; Chordata; Mammalia; Artiodactyla; Suidae.
CACGGAUUCCUUGCUGUCUGGUGCUGACACUAACUGGCGCAAACCUCCGCAGAAGCCCCUUCCCUGGACAGUAGAUCCACCUUCCCUAGUGUGGUCGAACCAGAGCCCGAGUCUACCACCAGCGUAUUCUCCAAAGACCCUGGUGCCAGGUAGGCUCUUUGGC